Paramuricea clavata is the source of this 294-nucleotide non-coding RNA. NCBI's taxonomy places the organism in Eukaryota, Metazoa, Cnidaria, Anthozoa, Malacalcyonacea, Plexauridae. The record is from the annotation of a GenBank genome assembly.
CUGCCAAAACCUUUUGUUGACAUGAGCAAUGGUGACAUAUUUCUGUUUGCAUAACUCACAGGUUACUGAUCCAGAUUUCUUUAUCCAGUGGAGCAAGCAAGAUGUGUGUGCUAAACCAACUGAACCUUUACAUUGACAAUGCGAAAAGAGGUCUCCGUUCUUAUCAGUUUCACGACAAAUACGGCACAAGUGUUCAUUUGAAAGUGACACAAUCGAGGAUGAUGUACUACAAUCACCACCAGAGCAGACAUCUAGAUACUUAGAAGUGUUCAUGACUGGCAUUAUAUGUUUCUC